GUCCACGCCCUAAACGAUGAUCACUAGUUGUUCGGAAAGGUGACUUUCUGAGUAACGUAGCUAACGCGUGAAGUGAUCCGCCUGGGGAGUACGGUCGCAAGAUUAAAACUCAAAGGAAUUGACGGGGACCCGCACAAGCGGUGGAUGAUGUGGAUUAAUUCGAUGCAACGCGAAAAAACCUUACCUACCCUUGACAUGCCUGGAAGAUCGCAGAGAUGUGAUUGUGCCUUCGGGAACCAGGACACAGGUGCUGCAUGGCUGUCGU
This 265-nucleotide ribosomal RNA is filed under the name uncultured bacterium. RNAcentral describes it as "partial 16S ribosomal RNA". It matches the Rfam family "Bacterial small subunit ribosomal RNA", at positions 793 to 1055 of the family's 1533-position model. The record is from RNAcentral.